This 4099-nucleotide unclassified non-coding RNA is filed under the name Monomorium pharaonis (pharaoh ant). RNAcentral describes it as "uncharacterized LOC105837890, transcript variant X4". The record is from RNAcentral. Lineage: Eukaryota; Metazoa; Arthropoda; Insecta; Hymenoptera; Formicidae.
CGCACGGCUCUGCGAACCAGGGAUCAGCGGCAAGAAACAUGGAAUCCUUUGUGGCGUUCUGAAAGUGAGAUCGGUAUGUAUGCCACUACAUUCUGCAAAUGCCCGCGAUUCGACUAACUGUACUGAUUGGUUUAAAUCAGUGAAAGGUAACGCACUUUUUGCAUUUUUUCUAUAUGUAAGGUUAUAUCUUUGCAAUAGAUCUUUUAAUUAUAUUUCUGAUAUCGGAGAACAUCUCUUUAUUUUUUACAAAAGAAACGAUAACAUUUGCUCUUUGGUCGAUCGGGGUGAUUGAGCCUCAAGAGUUUGAAUUACUUCGUUAAAAAUGUCUAAUAAACUAUAUCAAUUUAAUGGCAAUUUCUUGCUUGAAACUUGAUCUUUCUCGAUGUAAAUAUAGAGACAUUAAUAAUUUUUAAGCUUAACGAUAAUUGAGGAAGAAGACAAUUUUUCAUGGAUUGUCCUUGAAACUCAAAUAACAGAAUUUUAAUUAAGAUUGGGUAUGAAUGAUAUAUCAUUUUGAAAUAUUCUAAAUGCGAUCUAAUUUUUCGCGCAUUUGGCUUCUUUAAUCUACGCGUCAGCUCGUGUCUUUUAUUUUCGCCUCUUCCGCCUCGAGUUUGCGCCUCCUGUAGAAAUUAGUUCACGUCGAUCCGGAAUAGGUCGUGGGGCCUCUGCGGAACGUGUGCUUCCUUAUUGAUUCGAUCGGCGUUACGUCCCCGUACGAAAAUAAAUUCGUACUAAAUCGUCGUCGUUCUCGUCGUCUCCGGUAUCGAACCGCGCUGCGCGCGCCAUAUCGCUUAUUUCCGUCACAAAAUCGAUCGGCCGGUUGCUAUUAUCACGCUGACUUUUUCCACGGGUGUCGUAGAGCACGUGUUUGUACCGGGAUGGAUCCCGUCGCUUUGACGAGAGAGAGAGAGAGAGUGAAUGAGUGAGUGAGUGAGAGGGUUGUUCCAUUACGGCUAAAUCACAACGACGACUUCGACAGCUGUCACUUAUCCGAUGCCCGCGCGAUGUCCUAUUUUGGAUGUCGACCCGUAAUUGACUACGAAAAUUUUCGACGUAUUUUCGCACCAUGUCGUGGCUCCUUUUGCGAGGAAGGAAACUUCAGUGAGACCCGUAACUUUAAGAGUUCUCGGUGAAUUUGUGUAAUUUAUGCGCGAUCGAAGAGUUCUUUCGAGGUGUGUCCCUGGGAAAAAAAACCCCUGGGAAGAGUCGAGCGAUAUUGGUAGGAAGUAUCGAGCAUUUGAAGCGAGUAUCGAGUGGAAAUGUUAUUCCUGCGAAAAUAUCGAGCAGCAUAAAUGCAAUUUUGCAACAUGUAUAAAUUAUUCCGAUUCCUAUUACACAUAUAUUAUUUUUACGUUUUAAUGUUUGUUGCUUUUUCCUUUUGUUUGAUAUGUACGCGGUUAAAUCGAAACAUCGAUAUGCUGUUAAAUUCAGCACAUUUUUAAUUGCCACGUUGAAUGCUUCUGCGAGCGUCGUGCAUAAUGAGCAUUGUCAUAAAAGGAAAUUAAUUUCUUCCAUUACACGGGAAUUAAGCAAGCUCCCGACCGAAUGUCGGAUGAGAUGCGGUCGUCUCCCCUUUCAACAUCGAACGCCGCCGGUUAUAUUUUCGCCGGCCCCCCCUCACCCUUUUCUGUCCCUUUGGCAAUAUGCAGCGCGCCAGUUGCGGCCGUAAUUCUCUUCAUGGCCGGGAAAUAAUUGCAUCCGCGUUUCAUUGUGUCCGCGGGCUUUAUUUCCGCAACGCGUGUUACCCUUUUACAACUGUUUAUAUAUCCGUGUCGAUAACCUUCUCUCAUGUAUCGAGUACUCUGGUUAAGGCGACCUAAAAUUGAGGGGAUAGUUGGAGAGAAAGCGAUGCUUGCUUUGAGAAAAUAUGUUUAUAUUUUUUUAUUUACAAAUAAGUAUAUAUUCUAAAAAUAUUUUCAUACAUCACAGAAUCUUUAAUCUACUCUGCAAAUCCAAGUGUGCAAAAAGCGCCUCAUUCAUGUGUGUGUGUGACUUAGUUUUCCGCAAAAAUAACAGCACAAUGUGUUAAAUUAUACGUUUAAAUAUGUAAAUUUAUCUUUUUAUGCAAUAGUGUUAUUUUUAUAUGAAAACUAAAUCACACACGAACAAGAUAUUUUUUACUCGAGUUUUGAAUGUGAUCCUUAGAGUAUUUAUCUUAAAAAUAUUUAGAGACGAGUACAAUUCUCAAUUGAUGCAUUUAAGGUGUACAUUGAAUUGUAAGAUGGCAGCUUUACUAUUCUUUUUUUAAAACAAGUUUCGCAUUAAGGGGCAGGUUGUUUCGAGAAAGGCCAUUAAUUGCCACAGAUAGUAAAUGGAACUGUUCUAAAUAUCGACAGCGCGAGAGCACUCCACUUUUAUUGGGGUUUAAUUAACGCCGAAGGGGAAUGCGGAGGGUUGAAAAUGUAGGCGAGUUUAUCCCCGCGAAUCUAAAUUUCAGGAGUGCUAUCGACCCUUUUCCGCAGAGCGUCUCGGGAUUCACAUGAGCCCGGACGCCAUUGCCCCUCGUUAUUUUUAUACUUAUGCAGAUCUCGAGAUUUGUUGGAGGUUGCGAUUUGCAAUGCAAAGCCCCGGCGUAGUCGAGGGAUAUUGUUCGCGAACUCACAUUUAAUUAAGGAAAACCCGACGAAUUUAUUAGUAUUUUGUAAGGACAAUUUCAAAUCUGAAUUAAAGACUCGUUGAGAUAUUUAACAUAGUUAUUAUUCCACGAUUACCAGUUUUUAUCCAUUGACUGGUUACUCUUGGAGAAAAUUAAUUACAUAUUUAGUAACAUUGUAUAUCUCUCUUAUUGCAUGGAACGAUCGAUGUAAAUGUCUAUGUGCAUGUUUAUGAGAGCUUCAAAAAUUAUUAAUACUCAUUAUUAAUUAAUUACAUAUAUUAUAUUAAUUUGAAUUAGACAGCGCAUAGUAUUUUAUAAAAAAGGCGAAAAGAGAAUCUAUUUUGAGCUAAUCAAAACUAACAUUAAAAAACCUGUAUAUGUAUUAAAUUCUUCGUCGACUUUCGUAAAACAAGAAUUUGAAAUUUAUUUAAAAAAAUAAUAUGGAAUUUAUAGAGCAUUCUAUUUAGUGCAUGUAUAAUUGGAAUCAAGAAAAGUGUGUUUAUAAAAGAUGAUAAAUUUAAAAGUUUCAAAAUAUGUCUGGUUUAGUAUAGAUAUUAAGAGGGUCAUGCUCGUGUCAUUUAAUGUUACUUAUAAUUAAUGGCCUGAGGGCGAGGGUGACAAUAGCGAGUGGCGUCCCGCGUGUACUUUUCUGGAAAAUUAAUUUGGUAAAUGUGACCGGGGCCGCUGGUACGUCGUCGCCUAUGUAGCUGUCGCGAGAAUGAUCACCUAGUAAUAUUGCAUCUACAUACAGAAUGCUCUGGAUAAUGUUUUUUUUCUUCUAACUAGACAGUAUUCCAUGAAAAUUUCAAAACGACUUUUUUCAUGCAGAGAAAUUUCAUAUUCAAUUUUUUCGAUUUUAGAUUUAGCUUCUAUAACUUAAAAUUUUAUUAAUAUUGUAUAAUAUAAUUAAAAGAUUUUUAUCAUCUAUAUACGUUAUUAAAUUUUAUGUAAUUUAUUAAUAUGCCAUUUUUAUAAAUCCUUAUGACUAAAAAAUCGAUUUUUUGACGAUGAAACGUACGACUUUUUGCCGAGAGAAAGUAUGCAACAUCAGGGACCACCCUCUAUGUACAAGAAUUACCACUGCAGUGAUUAUACGGAUUGCAUAUUGCGCACGCCCGUUUGCAUGUUGGUCCAUGCAUCGUGCCUUUCGUAGAGAUGCUUAAUACCUGCGUCGCGUGUUUUAGCAUUUACGUACAUUUUAUAUAUACAUAAAAAAAAAUAAAGAAACGAGGAACUUUUUAUAAUGGUGUCUCGCGUACGACAAAUAAAUAACGAGAUUAACGCAUUUCGAAAGAAAAUUUAGUGGUACGAUACAGGAGGAAGGUGAUUUAUGCACCCCAUUUCGCGGAAAAUAUAACGGCUAUAUAUUCAAAACGUUUCGAUAUAUCGAGAGAUUCUUUCGGGUCCCCAUAUUUCAUGCAAAAAUUCGAAAACGUAUCUCGCGUAGCAAUCGCGCAAACAGCAUAGUCGAUUGAACUAUCCGUCAAAGAAUUAAAAAAGCAA